Long non-coding RNA from Ziziphus jujuba (common jujube), 2222 nucleotides. RefSeq lists it as uncharacterized. The record is from RefSeq and is a predicted model, not a curated record. NCBI's taxonomy places the organism in Eukaryota, Viridiplantae, Streptophyta, Magnoliopsida, Rosales, Rhamnaceae. The transcript is spliced from 2 exons.
CUACAAUUCUAUUCCCAUUCAACCAACGUUGCAACUCGAUCAACGCCAUCCCCCUUUCUGGUAUGUCGUCUCCGGCCAUCUCUUGCCAGUGUUUGCUCUCUCUGGCCAGCUUCUUGACUGACGACCCUCUCUCGCACUCCCUCUCAGGUAUGCUUUCCCUCUCUAUUUUUUAUCUUUUCCUUUCACUCUCUCUGUUUGUCCGUCUCCCAUCAGUUGUUUUGUUUGCGAGUCUCCAAGCAAUUUUAGCCAAAUUUCAAAAACUAGAAGCAAUUUUGGCCGAGAGUUUUAGCUUUUGUUUGUCAAGAACUUCAAACCGCAGCCAUUCCUAAGCCCUGCAAUCCCAUCUAUAGAGUAAGCGUACUAGUAAAUCUAAAUUACCAUAGACAACUGGUUUACACAGUUUAAGCAGAAAAACCAGAAAAGAAAGAAAAUUUAUGUUCUCUAUCUCAUUUAAUUAUUUCUAUAUUGAAAUGUAAAAAAUGUGAAAUUGUGAAUGAUUCAUUUCUAUCUCUCUCUCAAGGCUGGCUGCCGCAGUCCGCAGCACACGACCUAAAUCACCAAACACUCGGUCACCAGAACCAAACCCACUCACCACCAGAAAGCGUAAAUCCAGCCACCUAAACCACCUCACCUUAUCAAACCCAAUCACCUAAACCCACCCAAACUCUUCGAUCCAUACGACCUUCACCCAACCUCUCUGAUCCACGACGUCACCGCCUCAAAAGCUAAAAUCAGAAAUUUGAUCGUGAAACCAUGUAAAUACCAAGAUACUUGGGCAGAACACUAUUUGCUACAGCAAAUUCUAAAACUUCUGUAGCUACAACUGCUGCUUCUUCUUCAGCUGGGACGGUUUACAAUUCUCUUGAGGAGUUAAAAAGGCUGAUAGAAGACCAGAUGAAGAAAAACCAGCUGUCUAUGGUAAAAAUGUGAAAAUUCUUUUCUGUUUAAAUAAUUUAUUUUGUAUUUAGAAUUGCACUUGAUCUUACUUUAUAAGUAGGAAGGGCUUUGUUUGGUGUUAACUUAAAAAUGUUUCCUUUUUAAAAGGAGUAUAGGACUAUGUAUGCAUAUUUAUUUAAGUCUUAAUUUUUCUAAAUCCUUCUAAUUGCAUAUUUAUUAUCACUGUUGAACAAAUGAAUACAGGUUAGUAGCUUUCCAUAUGAUACUUAUUGAGGUGUUUGAACUAUUAGGAGUUUAUAUAUAUAUAUAUAUUAUUUACUGGUGGCUGCUUGCCGGUAUCUUUAAGGUGUUGUUUUGAGCUUCAUUGGCAGGUACAUCCUGUUUCUGCUGGAGUCCAGUAUGACAAAGAGUUUACUGUCUGCUCACUUGAUUUGCUCUCUGGAUUAGCUGAAGGUCUUGGCAGUGGGAUAGAAAGUUUGGUAAUCCCUUACUCCAUGAUUAUUUUAUAGAGCCUUAGUUACUUCAUUUCUCAAGUUGCACAUCUAUUUUUCUCAUAAAAGUGGUUUAUAAAUUUUGCCAAAGCUUUUCAACAAGAAGAUUAUGUAAAUGUAGGUUUCUUUGAUGAUUUUCAAUGUUACGCUUUAAAACUGAAUUUUUUUUGUUUUUCCAUUUAAUAAGAAUCAGUUUUCAUCUUAGUCAUUUCAUCUUUAAUCAACUUUCAAUGUACCUUGGAAAGUCUUAAAAAAAGAAAAAGAAAAAAGGGGAUGUAAUUAUGGUGCCUAGUUUUCAUUUCUCCAUUCUCUUUAGAUAUGUCUUGGUGGAAUGCCAAGACAUAUCAUCUCAAUGGCCUAUUUAAUAUCAUCUCAUAUGAUGUGGUCCCUAAAGUGCAGAAUUUACUAAUGGCAUCAGACUUUAAGGUAAGAUCAGUAAAAUGGUUGUAUUUUGUGGAAUUUUUGCUCGUUGUUUAUGUUGGCAAUCUACAUGCCCAAAUGUGUUUGCUACAGUGUCUAAUUUUCUUUUUCAUUUGAUUUUGGUUAGUUAAACGUCUUUAGAUUUCAGGAAUUUAAGGAGCAAGGUCAAGUUUAAUCAAUUGAGCACAUGUUUAAAAUUAAUGCAAUGAAGAGUUCAACGCAAGAUUUGUCUCCACCACUACCCACCAUUGCCAUCACUACUAUUACUUGUAAUUGUAUAUAGAUGAUUUUAUUGCCUAUGUUACACAAAAUGAUUGUUUUAUGUACUAAUGACAAUUAUAUACAUGUAAAGACAAUUAAUGUUUUAUAAAUAUUUAAAGCCUGUGUUAUAAGAAUUUGCUAAUUUGCUUUAUA